UGGCUUAUGAUGAUAAAUUAUAAUUAUCUUAGCGGAUUUCAGUGAGAUUUAAUUAUCUAUGAUCUGUUUGUUACACACACUGAGGCCU
Non-coding RNA from Capsicum annuum, 88 nucleotides. NCBI's taxonomy places the organism in Eukaryota, Viridiplantae, Streptophyta, Magnoliopsida, Solanales, Solanaceae. The record is from Rfam.